RNAcentral lists this ribosomal RNA (253 nucleotides) under uncultured bacterium. RNAcentral's name for it is "partial 16S ribosomal RNA". It matches the Rfam family "Bacterial small subunit ribosomal RNA", at positions 524 to 776 of the family's 1533-position model. The record is from RNAcentral.
CACGUAGGGCGCAAGCGUUGUCCGGAAUUAUUGGGCGUAAAGAGCUCGUAGGUGGUUUGUUACGUCUGCUGUGAAAACCUAGGGCUUAACCCUGGGCUUGCAGUGGAUACGGGCAGACUAGAGGUAGGUAGGGGAGAAUGGAAUUCCUGGUGUAGCGGUGAAAUGCGCAGAUAUCAGGAGGAACACCGGUGGCGAAGGCGCCUAUCUGGCCCAAUACUGACGCUGAGGCGCGAAAGCUAGGGGAGCGAACGGG